This 255-nucleotide ribosomal RNA is filed under the name uncultured bacterium. Its description in RNAcentral is "partial 16S ribosomal RNA". It matches the Rfam family "Bacterial small subunit ribosomal RNA", at positions 524 to 776 of the family's 1533-position model. The record is from RNAcentral.
UACGAGUGGUACAAGCGUUAUCCGGAAUCAUUGGGCGUAAAGGGUGCGUAGGUUGUCUUGAUUAGUCUUUCGUUAAAACUCCCGGCUUAACCGGGAAGGUGCGAGAGAAACGGCAAGACUUAGAGGAUGUGAGAGGUGUACGGAACUCAUGGUGUAGGGGUGAAAUCCGUUGAUAUCAUGGGGAACACCAAAUGCGAAGGCAGUACACUGGCACAUACCUGACACUGAGGCACGAAAGCGUGGGUAGCGAACGGG